RNAcentral lists this ribosomal RNA (429 nucleotides) under Bacillota bacterium. RNAcentral's name for it is "Firmicutes bacterium partial 16S ribosomal RNA". It matches the Rfam family "Bacterial small subunit ribosomal RNA", at positions 355 to 776 of the family's 1533-position model. Lineage: Bacteria; Bacillati; Bacillota. The record is from RNAcentral.
UAGGGAAUCUUCCGCAAUGGGCGAAAGCCUGACGGAGCAACGCCGCGUGAGUGAUGAAGGGUUUCGGCUCGUAAAACUCUGUUAUUAGGGAAGAACAAAUGUGUAAGUAACUGUGCACAUCUUGACGGUACCUAAUCAGAAAGCCACGGCUAACUACGUGCCAGCAGCCGCGGUAAUACGUAGGUGGCAAGCGUUAUCCGGAAUUAUUGGGCGUAAAGCGCGCGUAGGCGGUUUCUUAAGUCUGAUGUGAAAGCCCAUGGCUCAACCGUGGAGGGUCAUUGGAAACUGGGAAACUUGAGUGCAGAAGAGGAAAGUGGAAUUCCAUGUGUAGCGGUGAAAUGCGCAGAGAUAUGGAGGAACACCAGUGGCGAAGGCGACUUUCUGGUCUGUAACUGACGCUGAUGUGCGAAAGCGUGGGGAUCAAACAGG